This is a long non-coding RNA of Zea mays, 118 nucleotides long. RefSeq lists it as uncharacterized. NCBI's taxonomy places the organism in Eukaryota, Viridiplantae, Streptophyta, Magnoliopsida, Poales, Poaceae. The transcript has 2 exons. The record is from RefSeq and is a predicted model, not a curated record.
AGAAGAGAAGGAGCUAAACAUUCCAGUAAUCAAGGAAAAUGGCAAAGAUGAUGGGAAGGAGGACCAGAGAAGUGAAGAGAAGGCAGUUGCUGCAGCUUCAAAAUCAAGUCUUGGGCUU